Molecule: ribosomal RNA, 460 nt
Filed under: uncultured bacterium
Lineage: Bacteria
Description: partial 16S ribosomal RNA
Rfam family: Bacterial small subunit ribosomal RNA
Source: RNAcentral
CCUACGGGAGGCAGCAGUGAGGAUUAUUGGUCAAUGGACGAGAGUCUGAACCAGCCAAGUAGCGUGAAGGAUGACUGCCCUAUGGGUUGUAAACUUCUUUUAUAUGGGAAUAAAACGUUCCACGUGUGGGAUUUUGUAUGUACCAUAUGAAUAAGGAUCGGCUAACUCCGUGCCAGCAGCCGCGGUAAUACGGAGGAUCCGAGCGUUAUCCGGAUUUAUUGGGUUUAAAGGGAGCGUAGGUGGAUUGUUAAGUCAGUUGUGAAAGUUUGCGGCUCAACCGUAAAAUUGCAGUUGAAACUGGCAGUCUUGAGUACAGUAGAGGUGGGCGGAAUUCGUGGUGUAGCGGUGAAAUGCUUAGAUAUCACGAAGAACUCCGAUUGCGAAGGCAGUUCACUGGACUGCAACUGACACUGAGGCUCGAAAGUGUGGGUAUCAAACAGGAUUAGAUACCCGAGUAGUC